UUUUAGCCCCGAUAGUAGUGAAAAUCCUUUUGUGUCCGCCGCGGCGGACACAAAAGAUUGUAACGGAUAGCGGGAUUAGCU
Non-coding RNA from Flavobacterium sp. ov086, 81 nucleotides. NCBI's taxonomy places the organism in Bacteria, Pseudomonadati, Bacteroidota, Flavobacteriia, Flavobacteriales, Flavobacteriaceae. The record is from Rfam.